Felis catus (domestic cat) is the source of this 85-nucleotide non-coding RNA. The record is from Rfam. NCBI's taxonomy places the organism in Eukaryota, Metazoa, Chordata, Mammalia, Carnivora, Felidae.
GCCUGGGUGGCUUGGUUGGUUAAGUGUCUGACUUCGGCUCAGGUCAUGAUCUCAAAGUCUGUGAGUUCAAGCUCCGCUUCAGGCU